This is a long non-coding RNA of Poecilia latipinna (sailfin molly), 2090 nucleotides long. RefSeq lists it as uncharacterized. The record is from RefSeq and is a predicted model, not a curated record. The transcript is spliced from 2 exons. Lineage: Eukaryota; Metazoa; Chordata; Actinopteri; Cyprinodontiformes; Poeciliidae.
UCCGUUGAUUUUUUUUACGUCUUCUGAGCUGAUUUUCUUUUUAUGUCGACAUUGGUCAAAUAUUACAAGUCUAUAAUUCUUUCUCCUUCUUUUCACUGAUGAGUCUUUAGUUGCUAAUUUAACUAUUCUUAUUUUUGCUGGAGUAAAUGACAUAAAAAACGCACUCACAGUCCUCCCUUUGUCCUAUUUUACGUAUUUGCCCUGGAAACCAGACCAGAAACAUUUGUUGUGUUUUUGCAUAUUUAAAACAAAAUGAACGGUGGGGUUUGGCUAUUAGUCUCCAACAAACACAACAAGGUCACUGGAGUUUCUUUCAUUUGUUAUUCUAAGCUGGCUGUCAUGAGGCUGAUUCCAGCCAUGAUGAUGAAUAAUGAGUUUUUGGUUUUUGGUCACAGCUGGACAGAAGUGAAUAAAGAGGCUAAUUAGGGAGGACAGCAACAGUUAAAGUUUAGAUUUUGGGGGUUGAAAACACUUGAAGGUAUUCCCUGGAUGAAUCCUGCUGAAUGUUGCCGCUUUGUCUCCCCACUUGGCCGCGUUUAAACGUCUCCUGCUGCAGGUGAAGCCCAGAUUUUCUGCUUCAGGAUUCAGCCGGACUCGGAGCUUUGCAGGAAGCAUUCGAUCUCAAUCCCGUCUCCUGUCUCUGCUUGAUAGGCCCAGUCGGAGCAGCGGUGGCGGCUUACCUGGGCGCUGCGCUCUGGACCGCCGCCUAAUCAUCUGGCCUCAAGUCAGGCAGGACAGCUGAGUCCUGAAAGGACCCACCGCAUCCGCACCGCUGCAGGAAGACGAGGAGGAGGAUGAAGGAGCAGGAAGUAAUCGCUCUCCUCGUCUGACGGGAUGUGCAUAACGACCCGGCGUCCUGCGCUGGCCAGGAGCGGCGGCGACGUUCUGCAGGAUUGGAAACGUUGAUGUCUGAUCGGUAAUGAUGAUGGCGAUGACAACCUGGCGCACGGCGGCGGCGCGGGAGAGCAGACGACUCUCACAGAUGGUGGAGGAACUUAAAGGUUGGGCUGUUGGUUGCCGUGUUUGUUCUGCUCUCCUCCUGGACCAAUCGCGCGGCUCCGGAGCCCCUCUGAGUUGAUUAACCGCGCCGGCUUGCCAGCAGCUUCCCUGAUUGUGAUUACCUUCUGUGUUUUCUAAUUUGGACCCGGCUUGAUGUGGUUCUAAGUCUGAGCGCUUGACAUUCCCUCGAACGGGCCACAAAAUCCGUCAUUAGCCGCUGCAUGCGCGGCUCCUGCUCCUAUUGUCUUUGUCUCAUUUAAUGCUUGUCUCGUGUGAAAUGAACUAUCAGGCCACCAAGAGCACUUAUGAUAAAAAAUGAUGGUGGGAAUCCUGAAAUAUGGAGCUUUAUGGGAGCCAGAGCCUACUUCUACAAGGUUAAUGAACUCUCACUAACUUUAAUAGUCUGUUUUCCGACUCAUGCAUCUUCAUAAAAGCGCCCUUCCCCAAAGUCUGCAGGCGAGGGGUGCCAUUUCAAACAGCUGUGCCAGGCGAGCCAAAUGAAAGGAACCUCAUGAUGAAUCGCAUCCUCCUUCCUUCCAUUUCUGCGCCGUUCACCUCACCUGGCAAACUGUCGGAGGAUUACCUUCAUUCCCCCUUGAUGCCGAGAUGUAAGCGAACGGAGAGGAUGGGUGGGGGAGCGACGUUAAGUUCCUAAUCACCUGGACCGAACGAGGGCGCGGAGGGGAGGCGGAGUCCCAGGGGUGGCAUUAAAGCGCGAGCAGCCGGGGUUGGAGCUCCAGGCUCGCUCGCAGGUCUGCAGAUACACAAAGGCUCACAUUUUAUCUGCUGCCUGUGUGUGGAGGCAGGCUCAGGCUGAGGACCCCCAGAUACAAACAUGGAAAACAUGAAGUUUGUUCACUUUGUGGUGAUUUUUAUUCCCUCGUUUGUGUUUAAAGCUUUAAAAAGUUUGAUUUUAUCUGAAACAGCAGCAGUUAAAAAUGAGCUAUAUAUGCUAAAUCAGACUUAACAAACAGCGUCCUUAAGUAAAAGUACUAACAAAAAUGUUCUCUAGCAAAAGUACUUGCUUUUAAAAAUCCUUAAAGUGCUUGUUGAAUGUAUUCCAGGAUCAUUAAAUGUGUUUUGCCACCUGA